AUGGUUAAGGGGUUUGUGGUGGUGCUUGUUAGAGAUUUAUCCAGCCUUUUUAGAUAAUAGAGAGAUCAUUCAGGAGCUGUACUGGAGGGGUUUUUAUAAGAUCAAAUCAUUGAUGGAGAAUCAGAUGCUGGUAUCGAAGGUGAAAGUGGAGAUUGAGGUAGGUUUUUAAUAAGAAUUGCGGAGUUGGGGGUGUUAAUUAGCGUGCCUGUCAGUUUUUUUUGCAUAAAUUUAUAGUGGGUAUAUUGGGACUUUGAAAUUCUAAGGGUAUUCUCGAUUGUACAUGUCAUUGAUACUGUUUUGUCUUCCUAGAACAACUCCAUAGACCUCAACUGAGGUGCUCCUGCUUAUUCCUUGGUCUGACACUGUCAACAAACUUUGGCAUACUUUUGUGGUUAAAUAAUGAAAUUGUUGCUCUGUGGGCUGCUUUUCUUUUUUGUCAUAUCAGGGAAUUUAAAUAUGGUAUGCAAUCAUGCAUAUGUUUUGAAGUCAUGAUAAAAAUAAUAUGUGUUUGUCGGAACCUUCUUAUGUGGUAAUAUGAUUGCAAACUUGUCAUUCUUGGCUGUUGAAAUUUGCGCAGCUUCCACAUCACUUGUCAUGGAAAAUAGAAAUACACUCUUCAUAUGCCUGGGAAUUAGUCAAGUAUGGCUUGUCUGCACAAAACCUUUUGAUUAAUCAUGUCAAUUUUAAAUAGAUUAGCUUUUAAUACAAAAUCACCCAUUAUAUAUUAUUGCACAAGAUUUUGAUUUGCACCAGGUAUUUGGUCAGCAAACGGCCAGAUUCACAAGGAAGUUUUUUUUGGGGAUCAUAAAACAGUGUUUUCUUCCUUCUUUGAAAUUAUGCAUUCGGAAUCGGAUACCCAUAAUAUAUGUGUAGUGAGUACUAGAUUUACGUACUUGGCUUAUGAUGAUAAAUUUUCCGUAAUGUAAUUUAGAUGGAUUGAUUUUAGUAGGCAUUUGAAUGUGUGUUGAGGCAAUCAUCGAAAUAGGCUUUGUUGUGUUUGCCUUUUAAGCUAGCCUACUUAUGUCGAAAUAGCUUGUCCAAUGUAGAUAAUAUAGCAAUUGUCAGUAAUUACAUGGAAUUUUAAUUUGUAAUGGUUGUAUGAUUUGUAUUCUCAAAUCACUGAUUUAAAGCCACGAAAGAAGGUAAUACUAGUUUAAGCGAUAUUUAAGAUUUAUUUUACCGAAUGCAAGAAUGGAAUUGGGGACAGUUCGUAAGCGGAAGGCAUUCAAUUCUGAUAGUUUUUUUGAAACAAUGACUGUUGUCAAUGGUGAAGGAAAUGAACCCAAUGCAAAAUAGUUGUGGAUUUGUCGACUUCUUAUAAGUUUGUGAAAUAAUACCAAAAACUUUAUCGAUCAAUUAUUUCUUUGCAUAUCCAAGAUUGAAUCUGAUUUUUGCUAAAGGAGAGGUUUUGGUUGCAAUCUUUAAAUUUUUAUUGGGGAUGAAGGCAGGGGAUGAAGGGGCAUGCAUUACAAGAGAGAUUAGUAAGUUGGAAGUGAUGUUUAUUUUAUUUUUUAUUUUGGUUGAAAUACAAUAUUUUAGGAAUGGUAUGUAAUAAUAUUUAUUGAAUUCUCGUAGGAUCGGAAAGAACUAGGAUUGGAUUUUAAGAACCUACCCCCAAGCGAAAAAAUCAAAUAUAUAAGUCAGUCGCACAAAGUUGAGAAAGUUGCUGAUGAGGAGGCAAGAUUUAAGAUUCCUUUUGUGAUUGAAUAUUCCAAAUGCCUACAAUUUGGGCUACUUUUCUGUUUGUUGUAUCAGGGGAAUUCAAUGUGGCGUCAAAUCUUAUUUUGUAUGUUUUGAUACCAUAAUUACAGUUUCUGUACUGCCAUGAAUGUUGUGCGCGGGUUAAAUACUUAUAUCGUACUUGUCAUUGCUCUAUUUUAAUCUUGUUCUUAGACUACAUUGCUCAUGAAUCAUGAUGGUGCUUGGGUGAAUAAACUAAUUCUAUCCUCUGGACAGUUGCUGGGGUGUAAUGUUACUGAGGUAUAACUUUAUAUCCGUCUUUAGUAUCUAGAAAAAUAAGGAUUUGAUGCACUAAAUUACUCCAUACUCCAUACGUAACUAUUUCUGCAAAUGUACUUGAUUUGACUGAUAAAUUUGCUUUUGCCUUAUGUGGUGCUGCAGUGACGUCAGAGCAGAUUAUUUUGGAAUGCUUUUCCCUCUAUACUUAGAUAAUCAUGUCCAACGCACACCAUUGUCUCCAACAUUUGAGUGGUCAUUUACAAGAGGCUUUUCUAUUG
This 2237-nucleotide long non-coding RNA is filed under the name Citrus maxima (pomelo). RNAcentral's name for it is "long non-coding RNA (CMAX_LNC000116)". Lineage: Eukaryota; Viridiplantae; Streptophyta; Magnoliopsida; Sapindales; Rutaceae. The record is from RNAcentral.